ACAAGCAGCGGAGCGUGUGGUUUAAUUCGAUGUUACACGAAGAACUUACCAGGGUUUGACAUGCAAGUGGUAGGAAGCCGAAAGGUGACCGACCUUCGGGGAGCUUGCACAGGUGCUGCAUGGCUGUCGUCAGCUCGUGUCGUGAGAUGUUCGGUUAAGUCCGCUAACGAGCGCAACCCUCGCUGUGUGUUAUAUGUGUCACACGGGACUGCCGGUCUUAAGCCGGAGGAAGGUGGGAUGAUGUCAAGUCAGCAUGGCCUUUAUAUCCUGGGCUACACACGUGUUACAAUGGCCGGUACAGAGGGCAGCUACCUGUUGACAGGAUGCGAAUCUCGAAAGCCGGUCUCAGUUCGGAUCGGAGUCUGCAACCCGACUCCGUGAAGCUGGAUUCGCUAGUAAUCGCGCAUCAGCCAUGGCGCGGUGAAUACGUUCCCGGGCCUU
RNAcentral lists this ribosomal RNA (441 nucleotides) under uncultured Anaerolineaceae bacterium. RNAcentral's name for it is "bacterial SSU rRNA". It matches the Rfam family "Bacterial small subunit ribosomal RNA", at positions 925 to 1382 of the family's 1533-position model. The record is from RNAcentral. Lineage: Bacteria; Bacillati; Chloroflexota; Anaerolineae; Anaerolineales; Anaerolineaceae.